Herpailurus yagouaroundi (jaguarundi) is the source of this 718-nucleotide long non-coding RNA. RefSeq lists it as uncharacterized. The transcript is spliced from 3 exons. The record is from RefSeq and is a predicted model, not a curated record. NCBI's taxonomy places the organism in Eukaryota, Metazoa, Chordata, Mammalia, Carnivora, Felidae.
GCGCCGGCCCCUCCGCCGCCCCCCAAGCCUGGCUCCCCGCGCGCCGGGCUUGCUGCCGGCACCGGAUGGAGAGUCCCGAGAAGGCUUAAUUUGCAGGAAGACAUUCUCAUCAGAUCUCGUCUCCGGCAGCCGAGCGCUGCUGCCGGGGGUCGGGCCGGGCUCCUCCCAGCACCCCUCCCCCGGGCCCUGGCUGGACGAGAAACAGAGAUGGUGGCAGCAGAAACUGGAGCCCCGGCGCCGGCGCCGGAGCGGCCGCGAGGGGCCGGAGCCUUUGAGGGCUUCGCUGCUUCUUGCCAAGGGCCGAGAAAGUGUGUAGAAUUGAGGGGAAGAAGUUCCGGAGAGCCAGAAACUUCCGGAAGCGCUUGAUUCCACGAUUAAAGACUACCCGGCUCUACUGCUCACCCGCUGUGUGGCUUUGGGGAAGUUACUUGGGGACUUCAGUUUUCUCUGAAAAACCGGCAACUCGGGUCACGUUUUUUUCCCCCUAGCUCAAUCAUUCAGCGAAGAGAGGAAAUCUGGCGGUCAGGUUGCUCCCGGAGGAUAGAGGGGAGAUGGGUUGCAGGAGGGGUGAGGUGUGUGGCAGAAAGAAGAAUCCUGGCCAGUGCAGAGCGUCGGAGUCGCAAAAGCCAGGAGCACAUUUCCAGGGGUCUAUGGCUGUCUCCACCGUUGCCCAGAGAGCACAAGUGGGGGAGGGGCAGAGAGAGACGGAGUCACAGAA